RNAcentral lists this ribosomal RNA (253 nucleotides) under uncultured bacterium. Its description in RNAcentral is "partial 16S ribosomal RNA". It matches the Rfam family "Bacterial small subunit ribosomal RNA", at positions 524 to 776 of the family's 1533-position model. The record is from RNAcentral.
UACGGAGGGGGCAAGCGUUGUUCGGAAUUACUGGGCGUAAAGGGCGCGUAGGCGGCCUUCUAAGUCAGACGUGAAAUCCCUCGGCUCAACCGGGGAACUGCGUCUGAGACUGGAAGGCUUGAAUCCGGGAGAGGGAUGUGGAAUUCCAGGUGUAGCGGUGAAAUGCGUAGAUAUCUGGAGGAACACCGGUGGCGAAGGCGGCAUCCUGGACCGGUAUUGACGCUGAGGCGCGAAAGCCAGGGGAGCAAACGGG